Dryobates pubescens (Downy woodpecker) is the source of this 379-nucleotide long non-coding RNA. RefSeq lists it as uncharacterized. The transcript has 3 exons. The record is from RefSeq and is a predicted model, not a curated record. NCBI's taxonomy places the organism in Eukaryota, Metazoa, Chordata, Aves, Piciformes, Picidae.
GAAUAACAAAGCAUCUCUGCUUGCAGGAAAGGAGGAAAGGAACGAGACCGGGUGGAAGAGAACCCUCUCUGCUGUGUCCCCCAGAGCAGGCAGUAAGGCAGCUGGGAGUGACAAACCAUGGAGGAAGGUGAGGAUCCUGAAGCAAUAACAGACUGUUGGCCCCCAGGCUGUCUCCAAGGAGACUGCUCCCACGCCAGUGCUGCUCCCAGCAGGACUGUGGAGGGAGAAGAGAUGUCCCCAAGCCAUCACUCAGAGGAGAGCAGCAUGUUGGACCUACCCUCUGCUGGUGACCUGGUGGAGCACUUCCUGCCUCCACACGGCUCUGAGAGCAGCGAGGAGCUUUUUGGUUCUGUGGAUACUUUGCCCUCUCUGCCCACAG